RNAcentral lists this small RNA (545 nucleotides) under Pan troglodytes (chimpanzee). RNAcentral's name for it is "retained intron". Lineage: Eukaryota; Metazoa; Chordata; Mammalia; Primates; Hominidae. The record is from RNAcentral.
AGAGAAGCCAGGUCCCCUAGUUUUGGCAUCAUACCUGGCAUAACUGAUAGGCAUGUAUGGGAGGACCACAUUCCUGGGGACAGCCUGGGUAUGUGACAUGGCAGGUGACCAGGUUCCCAUGAAUGCCCGAGGCUGUGCCCAUCCCAUGAGCUGGGGCUUCCCUGGAGGUAAAGAGCUAGGGUGGGGUGGCAGUGGGUAGAACCCCAGCUGGACAGCUCCUUCCUUAGCUCUGUGAUUGCUACAGCUGGUUCUGGAGGCCACAGGUGCCCUCAGGACAAAUGGGGCUUCUUCAGCACAGGGUAGUGAGUGCUGAGCUAAGCAAGGACACUGUCCCCUUCUCUGCCCAGGCUCGAGCUGUGCACCUUUACCCUGGCAAUUGCCCUGGGUGCUGUCCUGCUCCUGCCCUUCUCCAUCAUCAGCAAUGAGGUGCUGCUCUCCCUGCCUCGGAACUACUACAUCCAGUGGCUCAACGGCUCCCUCAUCCAUGGCCUCUGGAACCUUGUUUUUCUCUUCUCCAACCUGUCCCUCAUCUUCCUCAUGCCCUU